GAUGAACGCUGGCGGCGUGCCUAAUACAUGCAAGUCGAGCGAACAGAUGAGGAGCUUGCUCCUCUGACGUUAGCGGCGGACGGGUGAGUAACACGUGGAUAACCUACCUAUAAGACUGGGAUAACUUCGGGAAACCGGAGCUAAUACCGGAUAAUAUAUUGAACCGCAUGGUUCAAUAGUGAAAGACGGUUUUGCUGUCACUUAUAGAUGGAUCCGCGCCGCAUUAGCUAGUUGGUAAGGUAACGGCUUAUCAAGGCAACGAUGCGUAGCCGACCUGAGAGGGUGAUCGGCCACACUGGAACGGAGACACGGUCCAGACUCCUGCGGGAGGCAGCAGAAGGGAAUCGUCCGCAAUGGGCGAAAGCCUGACGGAGCAACGCCGCGUGAGUGAUGAAGGUCUUCGGAUCGUAAAACUCUGUUAUGAGGGAAGAACAAAUGUGUAAGUAACUAUGCACGUCUUGACGGUACCUAAUCAGAAAGCCACGGCUAACUACGUG
RNAcentral lists this ribosomal RNA (497 nucleotides) under uncultured bacterium. Its description in RNAcentral is "partial 16S ribosomal RNA". It matches the Rfam family "Bacterial small subunit ribosomal RNA", at positions 28 to 507 of the family's 1533-position model. The record is from RNAcentral.